GAGGGUGUAGCUCAGUGGUAGAGUGCAUGCCUAGCCUGCACGAGAUCCUGGAUUCACUCUCCAGCACCUCCA
This 72-nucleotide transfer RNA is filed under the name Camelus bactrianus (Bactrian camel). It matches the Rfam family "tRNA". Rfam says of the family: Transfer RNA (tRNA) molecules are approximately 80 nucleotides in length. RNAcentral also lists the same sequence under 2 other names. The record is from Rfam by way of RNAcentral. Lineage: Eukaryota; Metazoa; Chordata; Mammalia; Artiodactyla; Camelidae.